GGGGCUGUGGCUCAAUGGCAGAGCACUUAACUAAUAUUAUAAAGCCCUGGGUUCAACCCCCAGAACUCCCC
Molecule: transfer RNA, 71 nt
Filed under: Cavia porcellus (domestic guinea pig)
Lineage: Eukaryota; Metazoa; Chordata; Mammalia; Rodentia; Caviidae
Rfam family: tRNA
About the family: Transfer RNA (tRNA) molecules are approximately 80 nucleotides in length. Their secondary structure includes four short double-helical elements and three loops (D, anti-codon, and T loops). Further hydrogen bonds mediate the characteristic L-shaped molecular structure. tRNAs have two regions of fundamental functional importance: the anti-codon, which is responsible for specific mRNA codon recognition, and the 3' end, to which the tRNAs corresponding amino acid is attached (by aminoacyl-tRNA synthetases). tRNAs cope with the degeneracy of the genetic code in two manners: having more than one tRNA (with a specific anti-codon) for a particular amino acid; and 'wobble' base-pairing, i.e. permitting non-standard base-pairing at the 3rd anti-codon position.
Source: Rfam by way of RNAcentral